Molecule: long non-coding RNA, 1000 nt
Filed under: Neodiprion pinetum (white pine sawfly)
Lineage: Eukaryota; Metazoa; Arthropoda; Insecta; Hymenoptera; Diprionidae
Description: uncharacterized LOC124211237, transcript variant X1
Source: RNAcentral
UUAAUCUUCGUUCGUCUAGCCCGGAGUCAACACGUUGCGUUAAUUCCGUGCAACUCGUUGAUCUAGAAAAUUCCCUCCUGCUUAAUUCUUCCUACCUUUUCCUUUUGUUACCUUCUUCACUAUCGAUUUUACCGUAACUUUUACCUUUUGCUCUAUCGUUUUACCUUCGUUUCCUUUUCGUCCUCUUACCUUUCCUACCGUUUUCUUUUGCUACUGACAAGUUUAUUUCAAAUUCGAAUCAGUGAGUGCUCGAAUCAUCGGCUAAGCAUUAAACUGCAGGUCGAUCGUUCGGGGCUGGUGAAUAUCUCAGUUGGGUGAACCUAGCAAAAAAUCUUGGAAAACAAAGUACAGAAGCUGCAUAGGUCACAACGUUAUUGCAAGAACAAAAAAAAAAAAACAGUGUCGAAAGUACGUCGCUUCAUCGUUCAACAGCAAAUGCUACGAGAACUUUUUCAUCUAAAGUGUGGAGCUUCAUCGUUGAACCGUAAAUGCCACCAGGAUUAUUUCGUAUCUGAAGUGCGGACUAAGUCAGAAAAGAGUUAAGCGGAGACAUCCGAAUGACUACUCCAUUACUUGGCAGCAUUGGUGAGUUUGCAUGUAUUUGGGUUACAGGUACUUCUCCAGGUCGCUUUUAUCACGUGCCGAUACUUACUUUUGUUUCUGAUUCUGCAAGUUAAUUUUUUUUAUAGCUGUUUAAGAUCUAAAUAACAGUAAAACGGUAAUUCCAAGUUAAUUAAUUGAUUGAUUGUGAGUCAAGUUCACAGGGUAGUUGUAUAAUUUAAAUUUCACUCUACAGAUCACUUUCAAUAUUCUAUCAUACUUUCUUUGCAGAAUAUCCCAAUUUUAUUUUAUAAGCUUAAGCCCAAGCAAUUACUCUGAAAUAAUUUACCGCAUAAGCUAUUGCCAGUAAUUCGUUUUCAACUGUUUAGUAACUUCUCUUUCAUUGAUCUUGUAAUCUGGUUACAUAUUUUGUAUUCUACCGGCAAAUCUUUUCCUACUG